GAGGGUAUAGCUCAGUGGUAGAGCGAGCAUGCACAAGGUCCUGGGUUCAAUCCCCAGUAUCUUCA
This 65-nucleotide transfer RNA is filed under the name Camelus bactrianus (Bactrian camel). It matches the Rfam family "tRNA". From Rfam's summary of the family: Transfer RNA (tRNA) molecules are approximately 80 nucleotides in length. Their secondary structure includes four short double-helical elements and three loops (D, anti-codon, and T loops). Further hydrogen bonds mediate the characteristic L-shaped molecular structure. tRNAs have two regions of fundamental functional importance: the anti-codon, which is responsible for specific mRNA codon recognition, and the 3' end, to which the tRNAs corresponding amino acid is attached (by aminoacyl-tRNA synthetases). tRNAs cope with the degeneracy of the genetic code in two manners: having more than one tRNA (with a specific anti-codon) for a particular amino acid; and 'wobble' base-pairing, i.e. permitting non-standard base-pairing at the 3rd anti-codon position. RNAcentral also lists the same sequence under 1 other name. Lineage: Eukaryota; Metazoa; Chordata; Mammalia; Artiodactyla; Camelidae. The record is from Rfam by way of RNAcentral.